AUACGGAGGGUGCAAGCGUUGUUCGGAAUUAUUGGGCGUAAAGAGCAUGUAGGCGGACUGUUAAGUCUGGUGUGAAAGCCCGGGGCUCAACCCCGGAAGUGCAUUAGAUACUGGCAGUCUUGAGUAUGGGAGAGGAAAGUGGAAUUCCGAGUGUAGGAGUGAAAUCCGUAGAUAUUCGGAGGAACACCAGUGGCGAAGGCGGCUUUCUGGACCAAUACUGACGCUGAGAUGCGAAAGCGUGGGGAGCGAACAGGAUUAGAAACCCUGGUAGUCC
Molecule: ribosomal RNA, 274 nt
Filed under: uncultured bacterium
Lineage: Bacteria
Description: partial 16S ribosomal RNA
Rfam family: Bacterial small subunit ribosomal RNA
Source: RNAcentral